UCCCUAGCGUUAUCAUCUUUUAAGAGAGACGGAGAGAGGAAGUAGUUGGACUAACAAAGAUGGCCUCCUCUGCAACUCCCUCCACUCUCAUGCUAUCCCAUGGCCGCUUCCUCUCUUCUUCCCCAACACCUCUCCCCCUCUCUCUCCUUCAAACCCAAACCACGCUUCUUCAACUUCUCCAACACUUUCUCUCUCUUCCCACUUGUCUUACAUUUCACACACAGAAAAUCCAACAAUUGGAUUGAUGUUUCUUCUCCCAAUUCCCAGUUGUUGUGGCCGCUUUGGCUGCUGAAGCAGAGCUAGCAGAAGAAACUGAACAACUCCAAGAGGGUGUUGUUGUUACCCCAACUAAGACCAAGAAAGGCAAAGCUGCAUUGCCUCGUAACAGUGACAGAAGGAGGUCUAAUAGAUUCUUGGAAAUUCAAAAAUUGAGGGAAAACAAGAAAGAGUAUGACUUAAAAACAGCAAUAUCAUUGCUCAAGCAAAUGGCGAGCACAAAGUUUGUCGAAACAGCUGAAGCUCAUUUCCGUCUCAACAUUGACCCAAAAUACAAUGAUCAACAGCUGAUGGCAACAGUGAAUUUACCCAAGGGAACUGGACAGACAGUUAGAGUGGCUGUUCUCACUCAAGGAAUCACGAAUAAGGGGGAAAGGUUGUAACAUUCUGUUCUGGGAGACUGCUCGAGCGAUUAAGUGGUUGCUCGAGCGGUGAUUCGAGGCUCCCAGUAUCUUGCCUGUUUACAGGCGAGACCGUUCGAGCAGUCAAGUCUUCACUUGAGCGUAGAUGUGAGGCUCCCAGUACUUUCAUUGUAGACCUGCAAAACUUCUGGGAUAUUGUAUUUACCGCUAAUGAAGUGUUUCGCUCGAGCGGUAUGUUUGAAAUCUCUUCAUCACUCCCAUUCUUGCAGUCUUCAUAGACGACAUAUACAUCUUUGAAGUAGAGAGGAGGUAGAGGAAUAAAUUGCAAUAUGAGCAAUCAAAAGUACCAGUCAAUGUAGAUGAAAAAAUUGGUGAAGGGUCGGAGAUGCUCUAACUUGAUGAAGGUUGAAGAUGAAGAGGCCAAAUUAAUUUCUAUUGAAAAACAAGAGAAUUCCAUUUCAAGUGUUCUCACUGUUGGUCUCUUGCCAACCAACUACUGUAUUCUUCUUCGUAGAGGGAUUUGGGGUCUAUGUUCGGAAUUUAAGCAAUUUUUCUGCUUAAGUGGUGAUGUCUAUGGAUGACAGUGUGGUUUAAGGGUUCUUUAAUUUGAAGUUCUAUUUCUUUUUUUCUGCUCUUCCAAAGCUGAAUGUUCAAUACAUUCAUUUAUCUGCUUUGCCCCAACUACUGCUAUCCUUGGGAAGCCAAAAGAGCUUCCAAAGGAUGGUAUCAACUCUUUCAAUCAUUUUCUGCUGCGUCCAGUGAAGUAAAUGUUGCAUCUGAUUUAAAGAAAUGUUGCAUCUUGUUGAAGACCGAAAGAAGGUUUGAUGAAUCUAGAUAUGAAGUGGCUUGAUGAUUCUGUAUUGUUGUUGUUGUUUCCUUGGUUUUGGUCGUGCUGCUUCUUUUAUUAAACUCUAUUUGCUUUUGUGCAUGUGUCACAUAUAAAUGCUCAGUCGUAAAUUGACAGGUUUUAUGCUGAUGCUACUAUUGUUGUUGCUUUGGCUUUCUGGCCUUUCUGUGCAGCUAUUGCCAUCUUCUUAUGGUCUGUAUGUUGUGUCUGUUGUACAUAUGUUCAUGUCAGAUGUAAACGAGGCCUACAUUGACUAAACGGUAUUGUCCUCAUCUUUUGCUUGCUUAGAUGAUUCCCAUGUUUGUGUUGUCCGUGUAUGCUCCUUGUACUAUGUAUUUACUUUUGAUCUUUGGUAUAUAUUGACUUACCCAAAAAAAUGAUGUUUUGUUCAUCAAAUAAUCUGAGUGUUGAAAUUUGAUUCGUAUUAUUUGGCUUCAGUUGCAGUCAGCAUAUUUUCACAUUUUGCAGCAAUAGAGAGUGAGUGAGUAAGUGAUGAGGCAAACUAAAGAUUCAAGUAUCUAAGACUUACAAGUUCUGCCAAGGGGAUGUCCACCUAGAGAAUUUUUUUUCUAAAAGAGAAGGGUGAAAAGAUUUCACCUUCUAAACUCAAAUCAUAUGAACAAAGUUACUGUAUAAAUUAGUAAUUCUGUGCCUGAAAUGGCAAAGGAAACUAGAGAAUACUUCAUAAUCUUUCAACAGCCUCCUCAGCCCUGCCUACUAUAAGUUUAAUGUGAGUCUUUCUGUCAAAACAAAUCGAGCCAAUAAACAUUGAACACUAACCCUGUGACUAUAAUUACAGUGUGCGUAAUCUCAUAUGAUGAAAGAUUCAUUACAUAGAUUUAUGGUUCUGGGUAGUUCUAAUCUAAAAAUUAAGAAUGAAGCUCUCUUGAUUAAGUGGUGGUGCAGGUUUGCAUCUGAGCCAAAUCCCCUUCGGAAAAGAGUGAUUUGUGAAAAGAUAAAUUGGGACAACAAGAGAUGGGAUAUUUUAUUUCUUAAAGGAUAAUGCAGUUUUUUUUGUUUUUGUUUUUGUUUUUUCUGAACAUGUCCCCAAUAAUGUGCUACUAAAAUUAGGAAAUGGAAUGAGAUUUCUCUUUUUGUUUGAUAAAUGGGUGUCUGAUGUAACAAAGAUGGUCUCAUUAAUGAUUUCAUCAUUAUGAGUAUGUCAUAGAGACAGAUUUUCUUGGUAUGGGAGGAGGAGGAAGACCAUCAUAGGUUGUUGCAAAUGCUGCCACAGGUUGAUCAGGUUAACGCCAAUCAAUGGAUCAAUUAAUUUUGAGAGUGGAUCCAUCAGGUAACUUCUCACUAAAAUCUUUACAAGACCUGUUUACCUCAUCUCAAUGUUGUAUUAUUCCUACAAUAGAAUUUGUGGAAAAGCAUUGCCCCCUUUGGAAUUGUUGAUUUUGCUUGGCUAGUCCGGCACAAAAGGAUUACCAUUUGUGAUCUUUUGAUUAAAAUGAAUUCUCUGGAUGAAUCCUGUUCUAGGCUCUGUUAAUAUUUGUGCGAAUGAGUUACUCCGUAGAAGAUCUUGGAAAAUUUGGGUUGAUUGUUUGUCUUGGUGGGGAAUGGAAUGAGUUUGUUUUUCAUCAGUUAGUGCCUUACUUGAUUGGUGGUUUGGAAUAAAAUUCAAGAAUGUCAAAAAGCUCUUAUGGGAGGCUAUAAUCAUCCAUGACAGUUUUUUGGACCAUUUGGAAAACCAGAAAUAACCUUAUCUUUAGUAAUGGUUUAGCUUCUUGGGAAAAUGCCUUGGAGUUAAUUAAAGAUAAAUUUGCAACUCAGGUAAAAGGAUAUUGAAAUAUCCCUUGCUAUACAGUUGCUGAUUUAAUCUUAAAGAUGAAAGAAAUCAGAGGCCUACACUUCCCUUUAAAAGGUGAAGGACUAUUGUGAUUUGCUAGGUUAGGCAAAUGUGGAUUUUCAAGUUUUCCCUCGACAAGGAUCUGCUUGGUUCUCUUAGUUCUUAGUGGUGUUAAUGGCAAUUCAGCUUUGGAUGAUGAAAAGAACUGAUUCAAUAUUGGAAGAUGGAUGAGAGUGGGAUUGGAUUGCAAGAUGGCGUGGAAUGAAAUACUCAUCCUCACUCUGCUGGUUGGUUUCUAACAUUGAAUGACGUGGAAAUGGAACAUCCAUUCUUAUUCCCAUGUUUUUUUUAACACUUGUUAAGCUACUGUAGUGUAUUGAAAAUUCUAAACCAAAACACUGUUCAAAGAGAAAAAUUCUAAACCAAAACUGAUGUAUGCUAGUAGGAAUUGAAAACAAUCCUUAACACAAGGUAAUUUUUCGUCUUCAGUAAACUGAAAUGAACCAUUUAAUUGUCAGACAAACUUUCUUCUACAGAAGGAGUACCUAAAAAUUGAGUCAGUUAGAUUAGUUAAGAUUAAAAAUCUUACUCUUGAUUGGUUAAAAUUCCAAAUAAAUGAGUUAUCCAUCUCGUGUGGACUCAGCUAAUGUCUAUAUAUAGCUCUCAUAAAGUCUGUGAGUCCAUAGUGUAAAAGCUUUUCUGGUUGGUUUUGUGGCUCAUUUUCGUUACUAAUGUUCCCCAUAUAUCAGUGACCAUGUUUUGAGAACUAACUUUCAAAAGGUUAUAAACACGAAGGAAGGAAACUCGCAGAAAUCAUCCAAAGUUUUGGAGCUCAGCAUCAUCGAGAAACUUAACUAGUUGCUGUCUUGGCAGCCACUAUGAGGCAUUUGGCUCAAUUGCCUAUGUAUGUCAUUCAUGGUUCUACUUUGUAUUGUUCGGAAAGGCUUUUUUGGUUUUCAUGGUUAAUUGAGAGCCGUCAAAAUAGUGUAAUUUUUUAUUUUUUAUUUUUAAUUCUGAUGCUUCACCUUUAUUUUAGUACUAAUUUUACCCUCUAUUAUAUUAGUUUCUUUUUCAAGCAGUUCAUUAAGAGUCUUGAGCUAGAUAGAUAAUGCCAUUGAGACUUGGGUUUUCUCUUUUCCAUGGAAAUUGUAAUAGUAAAUUUCUAGUUUGUAUAUUGUUGUGGCAUGUGGUGUUUAUCCAACUCGGGUUGUGUCUCUUUUCAGUUUCAAUUGGCAUAGUCUGUGGACCUUCUUUCACAUUUUAUGGUAUCACGACAUGUAACAUUUUAGAAACCAUGAGUUUGAUCGGUA
Camellia sinensis is the source of this 4587-nucleotide non-coding RNA. The record is from RefSeq and is a predicted model, not a curated record. Lineage: Eukaryota; Viridiplantae; Streptophyta; Magnoliopsida; Ericales; Theaceae.